This 934-nucleotide long non-coding RNA is filed under the name Phoenix dactylifera (date palm). Its description in RNAcentral is "long non-coding RNA (PDAC_LNC004415)". The record is from RNAcentral. Lineage: Eukaryota; Viridiplantae; Streptophyta; Magnoliopsida; Arecales; Arecaceae.
UUGAAAGCCACCACCACUAUUGGAAUGCUCCUCAUGAAUUCGCAUGGAAUUCUCAGCAACUUCAUUUGUGGAUUGACUCACCAGCUGAUCCAUACGAGCACUAAGGUUGCCAAACAUCUCCAUCAUUUGGUUGAAGAUUUCUCUCUGUCCAGUUGAAAGUGACUCCAAGGACUUUUCUAGCUUCUCCACUCUUUGAUCCGUAGCCAGGCUCUGAUACCACUUUGGUACGUACUGGCUGGUUGAGGAGGGAUUUCCUUUACCUAUUUUGAAGGAUUGUAAAGAAAACCCCAAAAGAUGAAAACAAGAUAAAAUACUCUGAUUACUUCGAGGGAACCAGAACCUCCAAUGAAAACACCAAAGUGCUGGGAAAAGAUAAGCGUGUUUGUUGUUAUUCUCUUCCCUUUUAAAUAGGCCACAAUACAACUGAAGUUCCCAACAAAAUAGGAAUAAUCUUAACAGCUAGUUGACUAAUUCAACUCAACUACAAAUCAGAAAAUAGUUAACAUGAAUAUCUAGAAAUCAGAAAGAUUUAAACAGAAAAUAACAGAAAUUAUUUAGAGUCCUAAUGACUAGGAAUUCUUGAAUGUAACAGGUUUUAAAAUUCCAUAAUUGCUAGGAUAAAGUUAUAGUUCAACCUUGUGAAAGGAAACUCUUACACCCAUAAAAAAAGAUGUAAAUCCUUACCGUGUUAAGGUUUGGAUUCAGAUGAAUUCAUACUCCGGAAAACCGAUGCUCGAUUUAUGGCUUAACAUUCCAAUUUUUUGUUACAUUAUUACCUACUUAUUCAAAUAAGAUACUCGUAGUGUCACUAUUUCUCGCAUUGUCAUAUAGUUGCAUCUUAAUAUUAAAUAAAAUAAAUUAUUCCGACCGGUUAGAUAGUAUCCUUUCCGACUUCUUAACAGCUUCACUGACAUGACCAUUACAUAAAUUAAUG